This 253-nucleotide ribosomal RNA is filed under the name uncultured bacterium. Its description in RNAcentral is "partial 16S ribosomal RNA". It matches the Rfam family "Bacterial small subunit ribosomal RNA", at positions 524 to 776 of the family's 1533-position model. The record is from RNAcentral.
UACGUAGGGGGCAAGCGUUGUCCGGAUUUACUGGGCGUAAAGAGCGCGUAGGCGGAAGCUUAAGUGUGGCCUGAAAGCCCCCGGCUCAACCGGGGAAGGUGGCUGCAAACUGGGCUUCUUGAGGGCGAUAGAGGAGAGCGGAAUUCCUGGUGUAGCGGUGGAAUGCGCAGAUAUCAGGAGGAACACCGAUGGCGAAGGCAGAUCUCUGGGCCGUAACUGACGCUGAGGAGCGAAAGCGUGGGGAGCGAACAGG